UGCGUUGAAAAGUUCAUUUCAUUAUCAGUUGUUAUCAUCGUAAAUCAAAAAUGAAAAUUGCGGAAUUGAAAAUUUCAAAGCUCAGUCAUUUGCUUGUAAAUAUGUACUUUCCCUUAAUAAUCCGCCGUCAACAAUCUUCACAGUCUACGAGUGAGUACUCGCUACAAUUUUUUAGCUAUGUCGUUGCCUGUUAGAACAAUCAAUGUGUUACGAAUCGCGAGAAAGUUCCCAUCCAAAGGAUUAAAAACAGAAUUCCGAAGACACUUUGGAAUUACGAGUAAUCAUUCGUUCAAUUCUUGGAUAAAAUAGCUCGGUACCUAUCGCAGCAUCAUGCGGAAUUGGAUACACGACAUGGAUCACGUACAGAAACACAUCAGCGACAAUUCAUGCUUUUAAAUUGAAGCAGACUCUUGUAGGUCAGUGUCACAGAAAUUGUCCGGCUGACUAUAGUGAGUCUUAAUUUGCCAGUCAUGUCACUUGCUACACAAACAGGAUCCGUCAUAUUAACGAACGCCUAUCCGAUCCGAAGUUAUGCAAAACCUUUGACACAAUGCGUCAACAGCGCAGCCAAGUGAAUUAAUCGAAAAUCCAUAAGUCUAGAUGACGUCAGCCGUCAGCAGGACCAACCGGUUGUAUCGAUCCAGUAUAUUAUUAAGUACUCGAAUUUCAACGAUGAUUCAUAAGAGAAAUUUAGUUUUAAUCGAAAUUUGACGUAGAUCUCGAAGAAAAAACGCCAACGUAUGAACAGAAAACGUACAGCUCCAUUUGUAGAAUCUAAUAACGACCCCAAAAAAUUCCAAUCUGAAUCUGACCCUGUGACCCUGACGAUCCGUCACUGGUGACUUCCUACGUUGAGUCGGAUUCUGAGUCUGACUCGAAUUCCAACUCAAAUUCAAAGGAUGAAUUUAAUUGAAUUUGAUGUGUCUGAUAUCAAGUCCGUAGGGCAAGAACAUGAUGCAGAGUUUAAAAAAGCAAAACAUAAUACCCGACCGAAGAAGUCUGUUCACAACAAUUCUGAUAUUGAAGAAUUACAAGAAGAUGAGGAAUUGAGGAGGUAUUCGAAAUUCACGGCAAAAACACUAAGAUUUGGUAAUUUUAACGUCAAACGAUGAAGAAUCGAAAAAAAAAGGACAAACGUCAGAAAGAAAAAUUUAAAAAGUAGGUAUUUCAAAACCAUAAAAAUCGAACUCUAAAAAAGUCAAAACAGAAGGUGAGUAGGUAAUUUACUAAUGAAAAAUUGUUCUUCAUUACCAAAAUAAAAUAGGUAUUGUUUUUCUGAUUUCGGAGGUGAUUGUGGGAAUUGCAAAAUAAAUUUCGAUGAAAAGUUAUGAUAAUUAAUUAUUUACCUACUAAUUUGUAGUUAAAACCUUGUUACAGAAUAAAAAAAACUAAUCUGCCUCAAGAAAAACACUUGGAAAGCUUUCGAGCAGAUCAGCAAAAUACGUUCAAGUGGGCUUAUUUAAAUUUCGAAUACUUAAACAAAAAACAAAAAAAGAAUAAAACUCACCAAUCUAUAACAGGUAUGCUUCAUUAUGCAGCAUUCAACACAGCAACGAUGCUUGAAAACUGUCAUCUUUGAUCAGGUUGUUAUCACAUUUCUUCGAUGUCGAAAAAAAACUAGCAUCUGAAAAUAACACAAGAAAAUAAAACGUAAGAAAUAUCGCAUGAAACAUUCCUACAAAAUAGCUUCAAAACAUAAAUACAGCGUCAAAAUCACUGGCAAUCACCAAAAAAAAAAAAAAAAAAAAAAAAAAAGAGGUAAUGAAAUUUUAGUAAAAUUUGACAAAAUCAAUAUC
Planococcus citri (citrus mealybug) is the source of this 1796-nucleotide long non-coding RNA. RefSeq lists it as uncharacterized. The record is from RefSeq and is a predicted model, not a curated record. The transcript has 3 exons. NCBI's taxonomy places the organism in Eukaryota, Metazoa, Arthropoda, Insecta, Hemiptera, Pseudococcidae.